CAGUCGCCGCGGGAAUACGUAGGGGGCUAGCGUUGUUCGGAUUUACUGGGCGUAAAGGGCGCGUAGGCGGGCGAAUAAGCCAGGGGUGAAAUCCCAAGGCUCAACCUUGGAACUGCCUUUGAUACUGUUUGUCUUGAGUUCGAGAGAGGUAAGUGGAACUGCGAGUGUAGAGGCGAAAUUCGUCGAUAUUCGCAAGAACACCAGUGGCGAAGGCGGCUUACUGGCUCGAAACUGACGCUGAGGCGCGAAAGCGUGGGGAGCAAACAGGAUUAGAUACCCCUGUAGUCCCUGUCUCUUAUAA
This 301-nucleotide ribosomal RNA is filed under the name uncultured bacterium. RNAcentral's name for it is "partial 16S ribosomal RNA". It matches the Rfam family "Bacterial small subunit ribosomal RNA", at positions 509 to 809 of the family's 1533-position model. The record is from RNAcentral.